AGGUUUUCGGAUCGUAAAGCUCUGUUGUUAGGGAAGAACAAGUACCGUUCGAAUAGGGCGGUACCUUGACGGUACCUAACCAGAAAGCCACGGCUAACUACGUGCCAGCAGCCGCGGUAAUACGUAGGUGGCAAGCGUUGUCCGGAAUUAUUGGGCGUAAAGGGCUCGCAGGCGGUUUCUUAAGUCUGAUGUGAAAGCCCCCGGCUCAACCGGGGAGGGUCAUUGGAAACUGGGGAACUUGAGUGCAGAAGAGGAGAGUGGAAUUCCACGUGUAGCGGUGAAAUGCGUAGAGAUGUGGAGGAACACCAGUGGCGAAGGCGACUCUCUGGUCUGUAACUGACGCUGAGGAGCGAAAGCGUGGGGAGCGAACAGGAUUAGAUACCCUGGUAGUCCACGCCGUAAACGAUGAGUGCUAAGUGUUAGGGGGUUUCCGCCCCUUAGUGCUGCAGCUAACGCAUUAAGCACUCCGCCUGGGGAGUACGGUCGCAAGACUGAAACUCAAAGGAAUUGACGGGGGCCCGCACAAGCGGUGGAGCAUGUGGUUUAAUUCGAAGCAACGCGAAGAACCUUACCAGGUCUUGACAUCCUCUGACAAUCCUAGAGAUAGGACGUCCCCUUCGGGGGCAGAGUGACAGGUGGUGCAUGGUUGUCGUCAGCUCGUGUCGUGAGAUGUUGGGUUAAGUCCCGCAACGAGCGCAACCCUUG
RNAcentral lists this ribosomal RNA (705 nucleotides) under uncultured Bacillus sp. RNAcentral's name for it is "bacterial SSU rRNA". It matches the Rfam family "Bacterial small subunit ribosomal RNA", at positions 412 to 1107 of the family's 1533-position model. Lineage: Bacteria; Bacillati; Bacillota; Bacilli; Caryophanales; Bacillaceae. The record is from RNAcentral.